Molecule: ribosomal RNA, 1020 nt
Filed under: Salmonella enterica
Lineage: Bacteria; Pseudomonadati; Pseudomonadota; Gammaproteobacteria; Enterobacterales; Enterobacteriaceae
Description: partial 23S ribosomal RNA
Rfam family: Bacterial large subunit ribosomal RNA
Source: RNAcentral
ACUAUGUGUUGUUGGGUAGGGGAGCGUUCUGUAAGCCUGUGAAGGUGGCCUGUGAGGGUUGCUGGAGGUAUCAGAAGUGCGAAUGCUGACAUAAGUAACGAUAAAGCGGGUGAAAAGCCCGCUCGCCGGAAGACCAAGGGUUCCUGUCCAACGUUAAUCGGGGCAGGGUGAGUCGACCCCUAAGGCGAGGCCGAAAGGCGUAGUCGAUGGGAAACGGGUUAAUAUUCCCGUACUUGGUGUUACUGCGAAGGGGGGACGGAGAAGGCUAUGUUGGCCGGGCGACGGUUGUCCCGGUUUAAGCGUGUAGGUGUGUGUUCCAGGUAAAUCCGGUUCACUUUAACACUGAGGCGUGAUGACGAGGCACUACGGUGCUGAAGCAACAAAUGCCCUGCUUCCAGGAAAAGCCUCUAAGCAUCAGGUAACAUCAAAUCGUACCCCAAACCGACACAGGUGGUCAGGUAGAGAAUACCAAGGCGCUUGAGAGAACUCGGGUGAAGGAACUAGGCAAAAUGGUGCCGUAACUUCGGGAGAAGGCACGCUGACAUGUAGGUGAAGUGAUUUACUCAUGGAGCUGAAGUCAGUCGAAGAUACCAGCUGGCUGCAACUGUUUAUUAAAAACACAGCACUGUGCAAACACGAAAGUGGACGUAUACGGUGUGACGCCUGCCCGGUGCCGGAAGGUUAAUUGAUGGGGUCAGCGCAAGCGAAGCUCCUGAUCGAAGCCCCGGUAAACGGCGGCCGUAACUAUAACGGUCCUAAGGUAGCGAAAUUCCUUGUCGGGUAAGUUCCGACCUGCACGAAUGGCGUAAUGAUGGCCAGGCUGUCUCCACCCGAGACUCAGUGAAAUUGAACUCGCUGUGAAGAUGCAGUGUACCCGCGGCAAGACGGAAAGACCCCGUGAACCUUUACUAUAGCUUGACACUGAACAUUGAGCCUUGAUGUGUAGGAUAGGUGGGAGGCUUUGAAGUGUGGACGCCAGUCUGCAUGGAGCCGACCUUGAAAUACCACCCUUUAAUGUUU